RNAcentral lists this transfer RNA (86 nucleotides) under Oceanotoga teriensis. Its description in RNAcentral is "Thermotogales bacterium OCT74 tRNA". It matches the Rfam family "tRNA". Rfam says of the family: Transfer RNA (tRNA) molecules are approximately 80 nucleotides in length. Their secondary structure includes four short double-helical elements and three loops (D, anti-codon, and T loops). Further hydrogen bonds mediate the characteristic L-shaped molecular structure. tRNAs have two regions of fundamental functional importance: the anti-codon, which is responsible for specific mRNA codon recognition, and the 3' end, to which the tRNAs corresponding amino acid is attached (by aminoacyl-tRNA synthetases). tRNAs cope with the degeneracy of the genetic code in two manners: having more than one tRNA (with a specific anti-codon) for a particular amino acid; and 'wobble' base-pairing, i.e. permitting non-standard base-pairing at the 3rd anti-codon position. The record is from Rfam by way of RNAcentral. Lineage: Bacteria; Thermotogati; Thermotogota; Thermotogae; Petrotogales; Petrotogaceae.
GGAGAGAUGGCCGAGCGGCCGAAGGCGCACGCCUGGAACGCGUGUAAUGGCAACCCCAUUCGUGGGUUCAAAUCCCACUCUCUCCG